GAGGGCACAGCCCAGUGGUAGAGCGUGUGCUUAGCGUGCAUGAGGUUCUGGGUUCAAUCCCCAGUGCCGCCA
RNAcentral lists this transfer RNA (72 nucleotides) under Camelus bactrianus (Bactrian camel). It matches the Rfam family "tRNA". Rfam says of the family: Transfer RNA (tRNA) molecules are approximately 80 nucleotides in length. Their secondary structure includes four short double-helical elements and three loops (D, anti-codon, and T loops). The record is from Rfam by way of RNAcentral. Lineage: Eukaryota; Metazoa; Chordata; Mammalia; Artiodactyla; Camelidae. RNAcentral also lists the same sequence under 1 other name.